Molecule: ribosomal RNA, 321 nt
Filed under: Triticum aestivum (bread wheat)
Lineage: Eukaryota; Viridiplantae; Streptophyta; Magnoliopsida; Poales; Poaceae
Description: partial small subunit ribosomal RNA
Source: RNAcentral
AUGGAGAAGUCGGCCCUGGGGGAGCCAGGAGAGCCGGUCCUGGAAAAGCCAGAGGAGCCGGCCCUGGAGGAGCCAGAGGAACUGGCCAUGGAGAAGCCGACCCUGGAGGAGCCAGAGGAGCCGGCCCUUGAGGAGCUAGAGGAACCGGCCAUGGAGGAGCCAGAGGAACCGGCCAUGCAGAAGCUGGCCCAGGAGGAGCCGGUCCUGGAGGAGCCAAAGGAACCGGCCAUGGAGAAGCCGGCCGUGGAGGAGCCAGAGGAGGCAGCCCCGGAGGAGCCAGAGGAACCGGCCAUGGAGAAGCUGGCCCUAGAGGAGCCAUGA